GAUGAACGCUAGCUACAGGCUUAACGCAUGCAAGUCGAGGGGAAACGACAUCGAAAGCUUGCUUUUGAUGGGCGUCGACCGGCGCACGGGUGAGUAACGCGUAUCCAACCUGCCCACCACUUGGGGAUAACCUUGCGAAAGUAAGACUAAUACCCAAUGACGUCUCUAGAAGACAUCUGAAGGAGAUUAAAGAUUUAUCGGUGAUGGAUGGGGAUGCGUAUGAUUAGCUUGUUGGCGGGGUAACGGCCCACCAAGGCGACGAUCAGUAGGGGUACUGAGAGGAAGGGCCCCCACAUUGGAACUGAGACACGGUCCAAACUGCUACGGGAGGCAGCAGUGAGGAAUAUUGGUCAAUGGGCGAGAGCCUGAACCAGCCAAGUAGCGUGCAGGAUGACGGCCCUAUGGGUUGUAAACUGCUUUUAUAAGGGAAUAAAGUGAGUCUCGUGAGACUUUUUGCAUGUACCUUAUGAAUAAGGACCGGCUAAUUCCGUGCCAGCCGCCGCGGUAA
This 508-nucleotide ribosomal RNA is filed under the name uncultured bacterium. RNAcentral describes it as "partial 16S ribosomal RNA". It matches the Rfam family "Bacterial small subunit ribosomal RNA", at positions 28 to 523 of the family's 1533-position model. The record is from RNAcentral.